RNAcentral lists this signal recognition particle RNA (299 nucleotides) under Cavia porcellus (domestic guinea pig). RNAcentral's name for it is "Metazoan signal recognition particle RNA (ENSCPOG00000034928.1)". It matches the Rfam family "Metazoan signal recognition particle RNA". From Rfam's summary of the family: The signal recognition particle (SRP) is a universally conserved ribonucleoprotein. Lineage: Eukaryota; Metazoa; Chordata; Mammalia; Rodentia; Caviidae. The record is from RNAcentral.
GCCGGGCGUGGUGGCGCGCACCUGUAGUCCCAGCUACUCAGGAGGCUGAGGUAGGAGGAUCACUUGAGUCCAGGAGUUCUGGGCUGCAGUGCGCUAUGCCAAUCGGGUGUCCACACUAAGUUUGGCAUCAAUAUGGUGACCUCCCGGGAGCAGGGGACCACCAGGUUGCCUAAGGAGGGGUGAACCGGCCCAGGUUGGAAACGGAGCAGGUCAAAACUCCCGUGCUGAUCAGUAGUGGGAUCGCGCCUGUGAAUAGCCACUGCACUCCAGCCUGGGCAAUAUAGUGAGACCCUGUCUCU